GCCUUAUUAGCUCAGUGGUUAGAGCACUGGUCUCGUAAACCAGGGGUCAGGAGUUCAACUCUCUGAUAAAGCU
This 73-nucleotide transfer RNA is filed under the name Dendronephthya gigantea. RNAcentral describes it as "tRNA-Thr". It matches the Rfam family "tRNA". From Rfam's summary of the family: Transfer RNA (tRNA) molecules are approximately 80 nucleotides in length. Their secondary structure includes four short double-helical elements and three loops (D, anti-codon, and T loops). Lineage: Eukaryota; Metazoa; Cnidaria; Anthozoa; Malacalcyonacea; Nephtheidae. The record is from RNAcentral.